CCGGUUGAUCCCUGCCGGACCCGACCGCUAUCGGGGUAGGGCUAAGCCAUGGGAGUCGAACGCCCCGCCGCUGCGGGGCGUGGCGGACGGCUGAGUAACGCGUGGCUAACCUACCCUCGGGACGGGGAUAACUCCGGGAAACUGGAGCUAAUCCCCGAUAGGCGGGGAGGCCUGGAAGGGUUCCCCGCCGAAAGGCGCCGCUGGGGGUUAUCGCCAGCGGUGCGCCCGAGGAUGGGGCUGCGUCCCAUCAUGGUAGUUGGCGGGGUAAUGGCCCGCCAAGCCUACGACGGGUAGGGGCCGUGAGAGCGGGAGCCCCCAGAUGGGCACUGAGACAAGGGCCCAGGCCCUACGGGGCGCACCAGGCGCGAAAACUCCGCAAUGCGGGCAACCGUGACGGGGCUACCCCGAGUGCCCCCCUCGUGGGGGCUUUUCCCCGCUGUAGGUAGGCGGGGGAAUAAGCGGGGGGCAAGACUGGUGUCAGCCGCCGCGGUAAUACCAGCCCCGCGAGUGGUCGGGGUGCUUACUGGGCCAAAAGCGCCCGUAGCCGGCUCGACAAGUCCCCUCCUAAAGCCCCGGGCUCAACCCGGGGACUGGGGGGGAUACUGUCGGGCUAGGGGGCGGGAGAGGCCGAGGGUACUCCCGGGGUAGGGGCGAAAUCCACUAAUCCCGGGAGGACCACCUGUGGCGAAGGCGCUCGGCUGGAACGCGCCCGACGGUGAGGGGCGAAAGCCGGGGGAGCGAACCGGAUUAGAUACCCGGGUAGUCCUGGCUGUAAACGAUGCGGGCUAGGUGUUGGGCGGGCGAGAGGGCCCGCCCAGUGCCGCAGGGAAGCCGUUAAGCCCGCCGCCUGGGGAGUACGGCCGCAAGGCUGAAACUUAAAGGAAUUGGCGGGGGAGCACCACAAGGGGUGGAGCCUGCGGCUUAAUUGGAGUCAACGCCGGGAACCUCCACCGGGGGCGACAGCAGGAUGAUGGCCAGGCUGAAGGCCUUGCUUGACGCGCUGAGGGGAGGUGCAUGGCCGUCGCCAGCUCGUACCGUGAGGUGUCCUGUUAAGUCAGGCAACGAGCGAGACC
This 1073-nucleotide ribosomal RNA is filed under the name uncultured Desulfurococcales archaeon. Its description in RNAcentral is "bacterial SSU rRNA". It matches the Rfam family "Archaeal small subunit ribosomal RNA", at positions 4 to 1052 of the family's 1478-position model. The record is from RNAcentral. Lineage: Archaea; Thermoproteati; Thermoproteota; Thermoprotei; Desulfurococcales.